RNAcentral lists this ribosomal RNA (557 nucleotides) under uncultured bacterium. Its description in RNAcentral is "partial 16S ribosomal RNA". It matches the Rfam family "Bacterial small subunit ribosomal RNA", at positions 355 to 914 of the family's 1533-position model. The record is from RNAcentral.
UGAGGAAUAUUGGUCAAUGGUCGCAAGACUGAACCAGCCAUGCCGCGUGCAGGAAGACGGUCCUAUGGAUUGUAAACUGCUUUUAUACAGGAAGAAACCCUCCCACGUGUGGGAGCUUGACGGUACUGUAGGAAUAAGGAUCGGCUAACUCCGUGCCAGCAGCCGCGGUAAUACGGAGGAUCCAAGCGUUAUCCGGAAUCAUUGGGUUUAAAGGGUCCGUAGGCGGUCUUAUAAGUCAGUGGUGAAAGCCCAUCGCUCAACGAUGGAACUGCCAUUGAUACUGUAAGACUUGAAUGCUUAGGAAGUAACUAGAAUAUGUAGUGUAGCGGUGAAAUGCUUAGAUAUUACAUGGAAUACCAAUUGCGAAGGCAGGUUACUACUAAGUGAUUGACGCUGAUGGACGAAAGCGUGGGGAGCGAACAGGAUUAGAUACCCUGGUAGUCCACGCCGUAAACGAUGGAUACUAGCUGUUCGGCGCAAGUUGAGUGGCUAAGCGAAAGUGAUAAGUAUCCCACCUGGGGAGUACGCACGCAAGUGUGAAACUCAAAGGAAUUGAC